AGCUUAGCUUCAUUCUACAGAACCACACUCUCAUUUACAAAACUUACACAGAUCUAUCUCUCAUUAACAUAUAAAAGGCACACUUCCAACCAUAUUUACACAUUGCAAACGUUAUACAAAAUCCGGUUUUAUCAGAUUAAUUACCUCGUAGCAGCUUUAAUCUACAUAGACUCACUCAUUGCCAUCAUAAAGUCACAAUCUUACAGUCAUAUACUCUUUUGCUAUGUGUCUGAGGUCAGCUAAUGGUCCUGAGUUUCUUGAAACCUCACUCCCAACCCAUCAAAGUACUCCACACUUGUUCCUCUAUCUUGCUUCUCGAGACCGGUAAGCUGUCUUCUUCGUUGAUCAACACUUUGUACACCUCCCAUUCUCUGUCUCCCGUCAAGUGCCUUCCAAUCUCAGCCUACUAUGUUUUCACAAUCAGUAUAUUUUCUGGUAUAGCCGUAUAGUUGAUCUUCAUCACUUCAAGCUCAUUUUAUCCCAUAUUUUCACACUUUAUCAAGUCCUUCGUGGCUGUCAUAUCUAUACGGGGUUAGCUGAAUUUGCCGUAUUUUCUUAGAAACAUGUGCAUAAUAUAGAAAAUUGUAUCAUGUAUGUAGUAAUUUGAAACAUGUAUAGUUCUUGGCAUUUUGCAGUGAGGUAGCAAGAAAAUCAAAUUGUAGGGUCACUGAUUCCCUUUACUGAGUGUAGUAGUCAAUACUCAAUAGUGACUAAGACUUUGGUGACGCUAUAUUACUAACCAUAAUGAUAUAAUCUCAGGACACCUCAUUUCAAUAAUAAUCCAUACGAGCUUUAUAUACUUAUAAAAAAGUGUAACUAGUUACAAAUACAUAAUAUAUUUAUUAAUUGUUAGAGAAAUACAACCCAGCGUAAUGAUAUAUAGGUUUUACAUGAAAUUUCUUGUAAGCAUGUUGCAUGAUCGUUUGGUAAUAUCAGUCGACAACGACCAAUAUUAUGAUAAUACGUACAUCUUGUAAACAUUUUCGGUGAAGAGGUUAUCGUCCGGAUGUACACUGUUUUAUCCCUCAUUGGCUAAUGUUUUCGUUAUGUUCCGAAACUGUGGCAUAUUUGUUCUUUGUGUUUCACAUGCUAAGUUCUAAAACCAGAAUCUUUUUCGGUUUCGCAUUGUAUAUUCAAAAUUUUUGGCUAGAUGGACAAGGAUGGGCAGAAGCACGUGAACACCAAGCACCGUUUCUAGCCUCUUCCUUAGCAUUCGUUCGUUCAUGUAUUAUUAAUCAUGAAAUUUUGAAAUUUAGUUCCAUAAAUGUUUCUGUGUUCGAAAUUAUAGAUUGAUGAUUCGAAACAUCGCAAGUCUUAUUGUUUUCAUAUAUAUUGUGGACUGUGGUCUGCGGAGACUGUGUCCUUCCAGUGUGAUCAAUACUUUCUACAAUUAGGUUAAAGGAUAUCCUGAAGAUUAUAUUCGCCAUGUAGAUUCAUUUUCUCAUCUACUUUUGUAAUAAGCAUAUAAUCAUCUUCUCAAAAGAAAGCAUGCAAUAAUUGAAGUUAGAAUAGUGGUCGAUGACUCUACUGUCUACUACACUAUACACGUACAUUUUCUUGUCAAUUAUAAUGUAAAAAGUACUCGAUUUCCAUGUGCAGUCAUAUGGGAUUCUUACCUAACACCAUCUCCAACCCACUUCUAUUUUUAUCUUUAUAUUUUCCUCUAAAAUAGAAAAAUUCUAUUAUAAAAGUGGAUUUGCUCCAAUGUAUGACUCUAUAAUAGAGUUCCUCUAUUUAUAGGAGAAAAUAUAGAAAUUUGCUAUUUUCAUCUCUAAAUAUAGAGGUAAAAAGUAGGAUUCCUCUAUAUUUUCCUCUAAAAUAGAGGAACUCUAUUAUAGAGUCAUACAUUGGAGCAAAAACACAUCUAUAAUAGAAAUCUCUAUUUUAGAGAAAAAUAUAGAAGCAUACAUUGGAGAUGCUCUAAUAGUUGAAUCAAAGUAAAUAUAGCUGAAUUUAAAACAUAAAAUAAAGACAAUGUUCCAAAAAAAAACACGUAAAUGCAUCUUCUUAAAAUAGUAACAAUCCUCGCAUGUGUUGUCCAUGUCAUGAACGUGGGUCCAUAUGUCAUGAAUAGGAGUUUUAUUGUGGACGUAUUGGUUAAAACAUUUUGUCUUCAUAAUGAUUUUGAAUCCAAUAAAUGUAGUUUUAAUCAUAGGCCCGCACUAAUAGAACCUGAAUUGACUGUCUUCCCAAAAUAGUUUAUCGAGAUAUUUUUUUCUCUCUUAGAUAUUGCUUUUACAGAACAUUAAUUUUAUAUUGUUUUCUGAUGUUUUAUUUAAUAUUUAUUUUAAUUUAUAAGGUUUAGUUAUAUAUUAUAUAUAUUAUUGUUUUAGUGAUUAUUCUGCUUUACUCCACUUCGUUGUCGUAAUUAACUAAAUUUCUUAAUAAAAUUGUUACUGUUAGUUAGUGAGGUUAUGCUAUGUUUCUAUUUUUUAUUUUUUUGGUAUGAAGCUAUGUUUCUAUUUUGACAGUGUAGAGUUGUUGAUCUAUUUAUUUUAUUUUUAAGUCAUGUAGUUUUAUUUAGUAUCUAAUAUAAUUUAUAUUGUAUCUUUUGUUUAGGCCGUAUAACUAUAUUUUUCAUAUCAGUUGUGGAUUUAUGUUUAAAUAUUCUUAUAAGUUCAGGACAUAAACUUAUAUUAACGUAAGACUACUGAUCCCAUAAAACAUAUUUUUUCAUCAUUGUUCUUAUAAUUAUUAUUUUAUUUCUAUUUUUUUUUCUAUUUUAUUUUUCGAACUAUUACUUUUAAUUUUUUUUUUGACUAUCUAUUAAUUCUUUUUGUAAUUGUUUUCUAAAAUAUGUUGUUAAUUUUAAUUAUAAGUCUUUCCCUCAUCAUGCGUUUUAACUACGGAAGAAUUGCCACUCUCACUAUUGGGCUUAGACACAGCCCAUUUAACAGUAACAAAAAGUUUCCUCAAAGACCAUUUUCCUUUAUAUAUAUGACAAAGAUCUCAGCACAAUACAAGUGCAAAGACUUAGCUUAGCUUCAUUCUACAGAACCACACUCUCAUUUACAAAACUUACACAGAUCUAUCUCUCAUUAACAUAUAAAAGGCACACUUCCAACCAUAUUUACACAUUGCAAACGUUAUACAAAAUCCGGUUUUAUCAGAUUAAUUACCUCGUAGCAGCUUUAAUCUACAUAGACUCACUCAUUGCCAUCAUAAAGUCACAAUCUUACAGUCAUAUACUCUUUUGCUAUGUGUCUGAGGUCAGCUAAUGGUCCUGAGUUUCUUGAAACCUCACUCCCAACCCAUCAAAGUACUCCACACUUGUUCCUCUAUCUUGCUUCUCGAGACCGGUAAGCUGUCUUCUUCGUUGAUCAACACUUUGU
This 3332-nucleotide long non-coding RNA is filed under the name Brassica napus (rape). RNAcentral describes it as "long non-coding RNA (BNAP_LNC003743)". Lineage: Eukaryota; Viridiplantae; Streptophyta; Magnoliopsida; Brassicales; Brassicaceae. The record is from RNAcentral.